Molecule: small RNA, 79 nt
Filed under: Thiomonas bhubaneswarensis
Lineage: Bacteria; Pseudomonadati; Pseudomonadota; Betaproteobacteria; Burkholderiales
Description: Thiomonas sp. S10 Pseudomonas sRNA P9
Rfam family: Pseudomonas sRNA P9
About the family: P9 appears to be conserved in several Pseudomonas species in addition to Bordetella spp.
Source: Rfam by way of RNAcentral
AUCAUCCGUACCACCAUUGAGGUGGCGGGAUAGUUCGCGCGCAACACAGGCCGACAAACCCGCCCUCGAGGCGGGUUUC